UACGGAGGGUGCAAACGUUGCUCGGAAUUAUUGGGCGUAAAGCGCACGUAGGCGGCCGACUAAGUCGGGUGUGAAAGCCCAGGGCUCAACCCUGGAAGUGCACUCGAAACUGAUCGGCUUGAAUAUGGAAGAGGGUCGCGGAAUUCCCGGUGUAGAGGUGAAAUUCGUAGAUAUCGGGAGGAACACCAGUGGCGAAGGCGGCGACCUGGGCCAAUAUUGACGCUGAGGUGCGAAAGCGUAGGGAGCAAACGGG
This 253-nucleotide ribosomal RNA is filed under the name uncultured bacterium. RNAcentral's name for it is "partial 16S ribosomal RNA". It matches the Rfam family "Bacterial small subunit ribosomal RNA", at positions 524 to 776 of the family's 1533-position model. The record is from RNAcentral.